RNAcentral lists this ribosomal RNA (362 nucleotides) under Tripteroides aff. atripes JB-2016. RNAcentral's name for it is "eukaryotic LSU rRNA". The stretch from base 1 to 129 matches the Rfam family "5.8S ribosomal RNA", at positions 24 to 154 of the family's 154-position model. The record is from RNAcentral. Lineage: Eukaryota; Metazoa; Arthropoda; Insecta; Diptera; Culicidae.
GCUCGUGGAUCGAUGAAGACCGCAGCUGAAUGCGCGUCAGAAUGUGAACUGCAGGACACAUGAACACCGACAAGUUGAACGCAUAUUGCACAUCGUACAACAGUACGAUGUACACAUUUUUGAGUGCCUGUAUUUAUCCAUUCAACUAUGCAGGCUUCCCCCCUAAGGAGACCAGCAUGCGCAGUGACGUUUUCCCGCCUUCGGUGGCGGUAAAACGUUCAAGUCCGUCAGACGCUCAUGACGAGCACAUACCACACUCCGCCCCGCCGCGGACCAGUUGUGCUACCGUCACCGUGCCGCACCGUGACCACACUUUCAUCUAGUAGGCCUCAAAUAAUGUGUGACUACCCCUAAAUUUAAGC